Molecule: ribosomal RNA, 592 nt
Filed under: Puntioplites waandersi
Lineage: Eukaryota; Metazoa; Chordata; Actinopteri; Cypriniformes; Cyprinidae
Description: partial 16S ribosomal RNA
Rfam family: Bacterial large subunit ribosomal RNA
Source: RNAcentral
AAAACAUCGCCUCCUGCAACACAACCAAGUAUAGGAGGUCCAGCCUGCCCAGUGACUACAAGUUUAACGGCCGCGGUAUUUUGACCGUGCAAAGGUAGCGCAAUCACUUGUCUUUUAAAUAGAGACCUGUAUGAAUGGCUAAACGAGGGCUUAACUGUCUCCCCUUUCCAGUCAGUGAAAUUGAUCUGCCCGUGCAGAAGCGGACAUAAUAAUACAAGACGAGAAGACCCUUUGGAGCUUAAGGUACAAAACUCAACCACACAAAGCAACUCAAUAAAAAGAAAUAAACCUCGUGGAAAAUGAAGUUCUACCUUCGGUUGGGGCGACCACGGAGGAAAAAAGAGCCUCCAAGUGGACUGGGACAAACCUCCUAAAACCAAGAGAGACAUCUCUAAGCCACAGAACAUCUGACCAAACAUGAUCCGACCAAUAAGUCGAUCAACGAACCAAGUUACCCUAGGGAUAACAGCGCAAUCCUCUCCCAGAGUCCAUAUCGACGAGGGGGUUUACGACCUCGAUGUUGGAUCAGGACAUCCUAAUGGUGCAGCCGCUAUUAAGGGUUCGUUUGUUCAACGAUUAAAGUCCUACGUGA